RNAcentral lists this ribosomal RNA (232 nucleotides) under Curtobacterium sp. YR515. The record is from RNAcentral. Lineage: Bacteria; Bacillati; Actinomycetota; Actinomycetes; Micrococcales; Microbacteriaceae.
GGUGUGGGGCUCGCGUCCACUUUGUGGUUCCCGACAGACGAUCGGGAACAAGAAACUGAACACCGCGCAUGCGCGGAACAGCUUUCGAACUUCCAAGAGAUUGGGUCGAAGGUGUUCCGGUGGUCAUAGCGAGAGGGAAACGCCCGGUCACAUUCCGAACCCGGAAGCUAAGCCUCUCAGCGCCGAUGGUACUGCAAGGGGGACCUUGUGGGAGAGUAGGACGCCGCCGGAC